Molecule: small nuclear RNA, 161 nt
Filed under: Lepisosteus oculatus (spotted gar)
Lineage: Eukaryota; Metazoa; Chordata; Actinopteri; Semionotiformes; Lepisosteidae
Description: U4 spliceosomal RNA (ENSLOCG00000019015.1)
Source: RNAcentral
AGCUUUGCACAGUAGCUGUAUCGCAGUAUAUGAGAUUUGGCCCGAGGCGCGAUUAUUGCUAGUUGAAUACUAAUGAUGAUGUAUUGUGAGCAGUUUCCCCAAAGCCCAGGGCUGAUAUCCUGUUCUCUGGAACAUCAUGGUCGUCACGGUUAUCCGAGUGA